CCCCGUUGAAACGUUGGCGGAUGAGUUGUGGCUAGGGGUGAAAUUCCAAUCGAACCCGGAGAUAGCUGGUUCUCCCCGAAAUAGCUUUAGGGCUAGCGUCGAGAGAAGAGUUGCGUGAAGGUAGAGCACUGAAUAUGUGAUGGCCCCAUCUCGGGGUACUGAGCAUAAUCAAACUGCGAAUGUCACGCCAACAUGCUCGGCAGUCAGACAGCGGGUGAUAAGGUCCGUUGUCAAGAGGGAAACAGCCCAGACCAUCAGCUAAGGUCCCAAAAUGUAUGCUAAGUGGAAAAGGAUGUGGAGAUGUACAGACAACUAGGAGGUUGGCUCAGAAGCAGCCAUCCUUUAAAGAGUGCGUAACAGCUCACUAGUCGAAUGACUCUGCGCCGAUAAUUUACCGGGGCUAAGCAUACUACCGAAGCUAUGGAUCCCAAGGGAUGGUAGGGGAGCGUUCCAUGAACGGAGAAGUACGACCGAAAGGACGUGUGGAGAUCAUGGAAGAGAGAAUGCCGGUGUGAGUAGCGGAACGUGGGUGAGAAUCCCACGCACCGAAAACCCAAGGUUUCCAGAGGAAGGUUCGUCCGCUCUGGGUAAGUCGGGACCUAAGGCGAGGCCGAAAGGCGUAGUCGAUGGACAACAGGUAGAGAUUCCUGUACCCGUAUAUAUGUGAAGGAAUGACGGAGAGAGGAAGCUGCAGCCAGCGGCUGGAAGAGCUGGUGCAAGCGAGAUAUCGGGAUGGCAGGCAAAUCCACCAUCCGAAACGAGAAGGCGUGAAGCGUACGGAAAGCUACGGCGAGUACGGAAGGCAGUGGAGGAACUUCCAAGAAAAGUUUCUAACGUUAAGUAUAUAUGGCCCGUACCGAAAAUGGACACACAUGGGUGAGGAGAGAAUCCUAAGGUGAGCGAGAGAACUAUAGCUAAGGAACUCUGCAAAAUGACUCCGUAACUUAGGGAGAAGGAGUGCUCAUAGAGAUAUGAGCCGCAGUGAAACGGCCCAAGCGACUGUUUACCAAAAACACAGCUCUCUGCUAAGUCGAAAGACGACGUAUAUGGGGUGACGCCUGCCCGGUGCUGGAAGGUUAAGGGGAUGUGUCAGCGCAAGCGAAGCACUGAAUUGAAGCCCCAGUAAACGGCGGCCGUAACUAUAACGGUCCUAAGGUAGCGAAAUUCCUUGUCAGGUAAGUUCUGACCCGCACGAAAGGCGUAACGAUUUGGGCGCUGUCUCAGCUGUAGACUCGGUGAAGUCUUAGUACCUGUGAAGAUGCAGGUUACCCGCGACUAGACGGAAAGACCCCAUGGAGCUUCACUGCAGGUUGAUAUUGGGAUUUGAUGCAGCAUGUACAGGAUAGGUAGGAGGCAAAGAGAUGGAUACGCCAGUAUUCAAGGAGCCGCUGUUGGGAUACUACCCCUGUUGUAUUGGAUUUCUAACCGGACGACGUAGAGCCGUUGACGGGACAGUGUCAGUCGGGCAGUUUGACUGGGGCGGUCGCCUCCCAAAGAGUAACGGAGGCGCCCAAAGAUACCCUCAGCUUGGAUGGAAACCAAGCGCAGAGUGCAAAGGCAAAAGGGUGUUUGACUGCGAGACCCACAAGUCGAGCAGGGACGAAAGUCGGGCUUAGUGAUCCGGCGGUGCUGAAUGGAAAGGCCGUCGCUCAACGGAUAAAAGCUACCCUGGGGAUAACAGGCUGAUCUCCCCCAAGAGUUCACAUCGACGGGGAGGUUUGGCACCUCGAUGUCGGCUCAUCGCAUCCUGGAGCUGAAGUCGGUUCCAAGGGUUGGGCUGUUCGCCCAUUAAAGCGGUACGCGAGCUGGGUUCAGAACGUCGUGAGACAGUUCGGUCCCUAUCUGUCGUGGGCGCAGGAAAUUUGAGAAGAGCUGUCCUCAGUACGAGAGGACCGGGAUGGACGCAUCAAUGGUGGACCAGUUGUCACGCCAGUGGCAUAGCUGGGUAGCUAAAUGCGGAAGGGAUAAACGCUGAAGGCAUCUAAGUGUGAAACCCACUUCAAGAUGAGAUUUCCCAUUGCGCAAGCAAGUAAGACCCCUUAAAGACGAUAAGGUAGAUAGGUCAGGAGUGUAAGCAUGGUGACAUGUUAAGCGGACUGAUACUAAUAGGUCGAGGGCUUGACCGA
RNAcentral lists this ribosomal RNA (2126 nucleotides) under human gut metagenome. RNAcentral describes it as "bacterial LSU rRNA". It matches the Rfam family "Bacterial large subunit ribosomal RNA", at positions 784 to 2925 of the family's 2925-position model. The record is from RNAcentral.